This 422-nucleotide ribosomal RNA is filed under the name uncultured bacterium. Its description in RNAcentral is "bacterial SSU rRNA". It matches the Rfam family "Bacterial small subunit ribosomal RNA", at positions 355 to 774 of the family's 1533-position model. The record is from RNAcentral.
UGAGGAAUAUUGGGCAAUGCCCGCAAGGGUGACCCAGCAACGCCGCGUGGAGGAUGAAUGUCGUAAGAUUGUAAACUCCUGUUAGAGGGGAAGAAUAGUACCGGUUGGACCGGUAUAUGACUGUACCCUCAGAGCAAGCCCCGGCUAACUACGUGCCAGCAGCCGCGGUAAUACGUAGGGGGCAAGCGUUGUCCGGAUUUACUGGGUGUCAAGGGCGCGCAGGCGGGAUAAAAAGUCAGUGGUUAAAUCCUACAGCUUAACUGUAGAACUACCUUUGAUACUUUGAUUCUUGAGUUCGGGAGAGAGAGACGGAAUUCCAGGUGUAGUGGUGAAAUACGUAGAUAUCUGGAAGAACACCAGUUGCGAAGGCGGUCUCUUGGUCCGACACUGACGCUGAGGCGCGAAAGCGUGGGGAGCAAACA